RNAcentral lists this ribosomal RNA (252 nucleotides) under uncultured bacterium. RNAcentral describes it as "partial 16S ribosomal RNA". It matches the Rfam family "Bacterial small subunit ribosomal RNA", at positions 524 to 776 of the family's 1533-position model. The record is from RNAcentral.
UACGUAGGGGGCAAGCGUUAUCCGGAAUUAUUGGGCGUAAAGAGUGCGUAGGUGGUUUUAUAAGCGCGAGGUGAAAGGCAAUGGCUCAACUAUUGUAAGCCUUGCGAACUGUAAGACUUGAGUGCAGGAGAGGAAAGUGGAAUUCCUAGUGUAGCGGUGAAAUGCGUAGAUAUUAGGAGGAACACCAGUGGCGAAGGCGACUUUCUGGACUGUAACUGACACUGAGGCACGAAAGCGUGGGGAGCAAACAGG